AGAACGAACGCUGGCGGCAUGCCUAAUACAUGCAAGUCGAACGAAGGCUUCGGCCUUAGUGGCGCACGGGUGCGUAACGCGUGGGAAUCUGCCCCCUUGGUUCGGAAUAACAGUUGGAAACGACUGCUAAUACCGGAUGAUGACGAAAGUCCAAAGUAUUUAUCGCCGAAGGGAUGAGCCCGCGUAGGAUUAGCUAGUUGGUGAGGUAAAGGCUACACCAAGGCGACGAUCCUUAGCUGGUCUGAGAGGAUGAUCAGCCACACUGGGACUGAGACCACGGCCCAGACUCCGUACGGAGCAGCAGUAGGAUAUUGGAACAGUGGGCAAAGCUGAUCAGCAAUGCCGAGUGAGUGAUGAAGGUCCGUUAGGGUUAGUAAAGU
Molecule: ribosomal RNA, 380 nt
Filed under: uncultured soil bacterium
Lineage: Bacteria
Description: bacterial SSU rRNA
Rfam family: Bacterial small subunit ribosomal RNA
Source: RNAcentral